GGCCUCGUGGUGUAGUGGUUAACAUGUCUCCCUGUCACGGAGAAGAUCACGGGUUCGACUCCCGUCGAGGUCGC
Molecule: transfer RNA, 74 nt
Filed under: bioreactor metagenome
Description: tRNA-Asp
Rfam family: tRNA
About the family: Transfer RNA (tRNA) molecules are approximately 80 nucleotides in length. Their secondary structure includes four short double-helical elements and three loops (D, anti-codon, and T loops).
Source: RNAcentral